CUGACCUUGGCUCAGAUGGAAGAGCGCAUGGUUGCAACUAGAACCAUGGGGUUGUCUGUUCGAUUCAGGCAGGUUGGA
Non-coding RNA from Stygiomarasmius scandens, 78 nucleotides. The record is from the annotation of a GenBank genome assembly. NCBI's taxonomy places the organism in Eukaryota, Fungi, Basidiomycota, Agaricomycetes, Agaricales, Campanellaceae.